GGUUGCCCUGUGUAUCUUUGGCCCUUAAUGAGAUAGGAUGUCGUUUACACGUGCACACUAUUUUACAGGAAAAUACACCGGAAAGGUGGCAGCAUAGGUAUGCAGAAACCCUGUGUGUCCCCCCGGGUCUGUCACCCUGCAGCACAAGGCCUCUGCUGAGCAGGCACCCAGGUCAGCUCCCAAGGAACGAGGUGUGGGAGUGGAGGUGAGAGGCAGCUGGAGACACACAUAGGUCUGGAUACUGGAAAGGGCAGGGGAACCCAGUAGUGUUCUGAUGAGUGUGCAGCUGCUGUCUGGGUCCACUUCUAAGGUAUUUAAAAGAAAAAGGAAGAACCAGCACUGGAAUGAAAGCAGGCGGAAAUCCAGGCCUGUCUCUGGUGUUCCCAAAGCCAUUCCACAUGGGAGAAAGAAGGGAGUGUCUUCCAUAAGCCAUUCAGCCAAAGGACCACAUGUUGAAUUCCAAACCGGCACUGCAGUGACUUCAACAUCCGGGGAAGGACAUCUUGAAUGAGAGAGGUGGCCCUCAUCCCGAGGGUGCAUGCUUGUGCCAUUGUUUUUCCAAUGGAUGGAGAUUAAGUUUCUGAACAUGAGAGGAUCGUGAGGUAACAGCGUAAUAAGGAACACAGAAGAACUGGAAAACCUCUAACUAUCUGGAAACGAAUCAGUGUUUUCUUGAGCAGCACACUUACAUCAGUUACUAUUGCACUUGGAAUCUAAACAAAACAUGUCAUUCCCUGUCUUCUCCCCGCUGCCCUGUCCCCAGGAACAGGAGCACUCAGCAACAAUUUCAGCUGCAAUGUUGCUGUCAGCCAUCAAGGGAAUGGAGGAAAUUUGAAGGAGAAAAUUGAUGUGUUUGCUCCAAAGAUUCUUAAGAUGGAAGGUUCAGAUGAACUUCUGGAAGACAACUUAAUAACUGAGUAGUCAACAUCAACACAGAAUGUUAAAAUCUGAAUUGUAGAGUAUUUGCUAUCUCAAGGACUUUAAUAAAGGGAAAUGCAUUGCUUCCCAGGAGAGCUGAAAAACUUGAAUAUAAA
This is a long non-coding RNA of Dermochelys coriacea (leatherback sea turtle), 1034 nucleotides long. RefSeq lists it as uncharacterized. Lineage: Eukaryota; Metazoa; Chordata; Testudines; Dermochelyidae. The record is from RefSeq and is a predicted model, not a curated record. The transcript has 5 exons.